UACGUAGGUGGCAAGCGUUGUCCGGAUUUAUUGGGUUUAAAGGGUGCGUAGGCGGUUUUUUAAGUCAGUCGUUAAAGCCAUCAGCUUAACUGGUGCAAGGCGAUUGAUACUGAGAGACUUGAAUUCUUCGGAGGUAGCCGGAAUGCGUAGUGUAGCGGUGAAAUGCUCAGAUAUUACGCAGAACACCGAUUGCGGAGGCAGGUUGCUACGAAGAGAUUGACGCUGAGGCACGAAAAGUGUGGGGGAGCAAAACAGGAUUAGAUACCCGUGUAGUCC
RNAcentral lists this ribosomal RNA (276 nucleotides) under uncultured bacterium. RNAcentral describes it as "partial 16S ribosomal RNA". It matches the Rfam family "Bacterial small subunit ribosomal RNA", at positions 524 to 796 of the family's 1533-position model. The record is from RNAcentral.